Molecule: long non-coding RNA, 214 nt
Organism: Colias croceus (clouded yellow)
Lineage: Eukaryota; Metazoa; Arthropoda; Insecta; Lepidoptera; Pieridae
Exons: 3
Source: RefSeq, a predicted model, not a curated record
UGUACAGAUCCACACAAAAUUCGUUUAGAUGACUUUAAUCUUGAUCCAGUGGUUAAGGAGAGUGAUUUAAAUCAAAAGUCAGAGACAUCCAAAAAUGUAUUGCCUUCGGAUCUAACUCUACUCGCUGAUAACAAUAAACAAAGUCAAAAAACAACGGCGAAGACGAAAAUAAUGACAGCAAAAAAAUAUACAAAAAGUCUCUUUAUGACCUAUG